Long non-coding RNA from Cyprinus carpio carpio, 319 nucleotides. The record is from Ensembl. NCBI's taxonomy places the organism in Eukaryota, Metazoa, Chordata, Actinopteri, Cypriniformes, Cyprinidae.
CCAGCACGAGCCAUUCGACACAAACUACUGAUUCAAUCCAGAUGAAACAGCGCUGACAUUCUCAACAUCCCUGAAGUGUGAAACAGGAAAAACACUGCAGAAAACAUCCAGUUUAAUCCACUAAGGAUUAACUGUAGUCACAUAAACUGUAGUUAGGGUAUUGUGGCAGAAAGAUUCAGGAGCAUUAGAACGGCGUGAGGUCCAGGAGACGAGAGAAACAGCGCUGUUGUGAAGAAGAUCUGCAGCACUGAAUCUGGACUGACCUCGGAUUCCCACCAUCAGGAUCCUCACCUCGUCAUCAUCAUCAUCAUGAGAAGCU